Molecule: long non-coding RNA, 287 nt
Filed under: Sorghum bicolor (sorghum)
Lineage: Eukaryota; Viridiplantae; Streptophyta; Magnoliopsida; Poales; Poaceae
Description: long non-coding RNA (SBIC_LNC004283)
Source: RNAcentral
CACUCUCUCUCUCUCUCUCUCUCUCUCUCUCUCUCUCUCUCUCUCUCUCUCUCUCUUACUCUCAUCUUCACUACCUGCAGUUCUUCUCUAGCCUAACUUAAUAAACUAAAUAAAAAAUUUAUUAUCUUAUUUUUUUAUUUAGUUCAUUAAGUUAGACUAGAGAAGAACCGUGAGUAUCUAUUUGGAGUACCAUCCCUAUCCUUAGCUACAUUGCUAUAUGCACAUAAGUUAGUUGUCCACAUUUUAGGACCCUUAGCCGCACGUGCUAGUAAAACAUAUCUCCUUUC